GUGUGCGCCUUUCCUGUGUGGGGCCAGACGACUGGGGUUCCAGUCUGGGUGAUAUCUGUGCACUUCUUAGCUGUUUGACAGGCCUCACAACAAUCAAAAGGGAGUAUAAGUGACCCUUGAACAGCAGGGUUUGAACUGCAUGGGUCCAUUUAUACGUGGGCUUUUGUCAAUAAAUAUAUUGGAAAUAUUUUGAAUAUUUCUGACAAUUUGAGAAACCACACAGACAAACGCAGUAGCCUAAAAAUGUCCCAGAAAGUUCGGGGAAAAGCUAGAUACGCCAUGAAGGCAUAAAAUAUAUGUGGAUGUGAGUUUAUUUUGUCAUUUACUACCAUCAAUUCAAGGGCUAACAGACAGGUUAAGAGAGGAUGACUUGAUGGAGACGAGUGCCAGAUGUUGAGGAAGUCGCAGAAGAAACAGCGCCAGGAAACAGAUUGACAUCAGACCAUCCUACAGAAGCAUUCUGAGUUUUCAAAGAUUGCUUUUGACGGCUUUUGCAACAUGGCUCCUUCAAUGAUACGGGCACUGAAACUAAAAUGAACGGUGGAGGGAUUAUGGUAUACAAACAUUUUUAGAGAAAUGAAUAAAGCAGAAAACUCAUACAGAAACGACGAUGUGUUUUCAUAAAGUUACACCAGGUGUGCCGGCCUCUCUUGCUCCCCCCCCUUCCACAUCCUCCACCUCCGCCCCCCAAGACAGCAAGACCCACGCCUCCUCCUCCUCAGCUGACUCAGUGUGAAAACCUGAGGAUGAAGACCUUUAUGAUGAUCCACCUCCACUUAGUAAAUAGAGACUGGGCUGCACUACAAGAGGCUCCUGGCUUACCCUUGGAUCCUGACCAUCAUGUGACCAGAGAAAUUGGUAACAUUUUUGUCUUGCAUGUUGAAAUGUUUCAUGACAGAAAGAUUUCGUUCAGUUUCCUGAUGUGGGUGAAGUGCAGAAUCCGAUGUUGAUUGAUUCUCCAAGCAGUGUAAGCCUUAGUCCCUGCACGGGGGUGAGUUUCCUGCCCUAAGAUGAGGGACCCAUGCAUGUGACCUGUGCCUCUUGGGAGAGCAGCCCUAAGCUAGUUUAAACUGACCAAGUUCUGUCUCCAUGGUAGAUUUAGGUUCCUCUGUAUUCUGUCUACACUGAGUACAUUUAGACCUGACCAUGUUAUGCAAACACUAGGACAUGUAGACCUGACUAAGACUCAGGCCAGUCCUGGGAACUUUAGGAGGCACAUGGAGACCUGGAUAAAGACCUGGUCUCAGUAAUGGGAUCUUCAGGGAGGCCAUGGAGACCUGGCUACAUAACCGGCCUCAGUACUGGGGAGCUUCAGAGGGGACGUGGGGACCUGGUUAGACACCCAGCCUGGCUCAGUCCUGGGAGCUUUAGUGCGGAUGUGGGCUCCAGGGUAGAGGCCUGGCAUCUGUCCUGAGAACUUCAGGUGGGACAUGGAAACCUGUGUAGAGAAGUAGCCUGCUGUCAUCCCACAACGGUGCCCCCUGAGCUCUCUCAGGGUUACACAGGAUACUGGCCCUAGAUA
This 1522-nucleotide long non-coding RNA is filed under the name Camelus dromedarius (Arabian camel). Its description in RNAcentral is "lncRNA (ENSCDRG00005011130.1)". The record is from RNAcentral. Lineage: Eukaryota; Metazoa; Chordata; Mammalia; Artiodactyla; Camelidae.